RNAcentral lists this ribosomal RNA (325 nucleotides) under uncultured eukaryote. Its description in RNAcentral is "partial 18S ribosomal RNA". It matches the Rfam family "Eukaryotic small subunit ribosomal RNA", at positions 1470 to 1796 of the family's 1831-position model. The record is from RNAcentral.
CCCUUAGAUGUUCUGGGCUGCACGCGCGCUACACUGAUGCGCUCAACGAGUUUUAACCUUGCCUGGAAAGGUUGGGUAAUCUUUUUAAAACGCAUCGUGAUGGGGAUAGAUUAUUGCAAUUAUUAAUCUUCAACGAGGAAUUCCUAGUAAGCGCGAGUCAUCAGCUCGUGCUGAUUACGCCCCUGCCCUUUGUACACACCGCCCGUCGCUCUUACCGAUUGAGUGAUCCGGUGAAUAAUUCGGACUGCGGCAUUGACCGGUUCCCGAUCGUUGCUGCGGAAAGUUUAGUGAACCUUAUCACUUAGAGGAAGGAGAAGUCGUAACA